RNAcentral lists this ribosomal RNA (519 nucleotides) under uncultured bacterium. RNAcentral describes it as "bacterial SSU rRNA". It matches the Rfam family "Bacterial small subunit ribosomal RNA", at positions 19 to 518 of the family's 1533-position model. The record is from RNAcentral.
CUGGCUCAGGAUGAACGCUAGCGGCAGGCCUAACACAUGCAAGGUCGCGGGGCAGGCACGGGUAGCAAUACCUGGUGGCGACCGGCGCACGGGUGCGUAACGCGUAUGCAACCCUGCCCCCAGUCAGGGGGAACUAGCCCGCCGAAAGGCGGAUUAACUGCCCCCAUAGGGCCCCAGGGCGCCGCAUGGCGCUAUGGGUAAAGCUCCGGCGGGAUGGGGGAUGGGCAUGCGUGCCAUUAGCUAGUUGGGGCGGUAACGGCGCACCAAGGCGACGAUGGCUAGGGGGGUCUGAGAGGACUGGUCCCCCACACUGGUACUGAGACACGGACCAGACUCCUACGGGAGGCAGCAGUGAGGAAUAUUGGUCAAUGGGCGGAAGCCUGAACCAGCCAAUGCCGCGUGCAGGAUGACGGCCCUACGGGUUGUAAACUGCUUUUCCCCGGGAAGAAUAAGCCCCUCGUGAGGGGUGAUGCCGGUACCGGGGGAAUAAGGAUCGGCUAACUCCGUGCCAGCCGCCGC